This 274-nucleotide ribosomal RNA is filed under the name uncultured bacterium. Its description in RNAcentral is "partial 16S ribosomal RNA". It matches the Rfam family "Bacterial small subunit ribosomal RNA", at positions 523 to 796 of the family's 1533-position model. The record is from RNAcentral.
AUACGGAGGGUGCGAGCGUUAAUCGGAAUUACUGGGCGAAAAGCGUACGUAGGCGGUUGGUUAAGUUAGAUGUGAAAGCCCCGGGCUUAACCUGGGAACUGCAUUUAAAACUGGCGAACUAGAGUUGAGUAGAGGGGAGUGGAAUUUCAGGUGUAGCGGUGAAAUGCGUAGAGAUCUGAAGGAACACCAGUGGCGAAGGCGACUCCCUGGACUCGAACUGACGCUGAGGUACGAAAGCGUGGGUAGCAAACGGGAUUAGAAACCCUAGUAGUCC